Molecule: ribosomal RNA, 497 nt
Filed under: uncultured bacterium
Lineage: Bacteria
Description: partial 16S ribosomal RNA
Rfam family: Bacterial small subunit ribosomal RNA
Source: RNAcentral
GAUGAACGCUUGCGGCGUGCCUAAUACAUGCAAGUCGAGCGAACAGACGAGGAGCUUGCUCCUUCGACGUUAGCGGCGGACGGGUGAGUAACACGUAGGUAACCUACCUAUAAGACUGGGAUAACUUCGGGAAACCGGAGCUAAUACCGGAUAAUAUUUCGAACCGCAUGGUUCGAUAGUGAAAGAUGGCUUUGCUAUCACUUAUAGAUGGACCUGCGCCGUAUUAGCUAGUUGGUAAGGUAACGGCUUACCAAGGCAACGAUACGUAGCCGACCUGAGAGGGUGAUCGGCCACACUGGAACUGAGACACGGUCCAGACUCCUACGGGAGGCAGCAGUAGGGAAUCUUCCGCAAUGGGCGAAAGCCUGACGGAGCAACGCCGCGUGAGUGAUGAAGGUCUUCGGAUCGUAAAACUCUGUUAUUAGGGAAGAACAAACGUGUAAGUAACUGUGCACGUCUUGACGGUACCUAAUCAGAAAGCCACGGCUAACUACGUG